UGACCGCAAGGCUAGAGUAUGGCAGAGGGGGGUGGAAUUCCACGUGUAGCAGUGAAAUGCGUAGAGAUGUGGAGGAACACCAAUGGCGAAGGCAGCCCCCUGGGCCAAUACUGACGCUCAUGCACGAAAGCGUGGGUAGCAAACAGGAUUAGAUACCCUGGUAGUCCACGCCCUAAACGAUGUCAACUAGGUGUUGGGUGGGUAAAACCAUUUUAGUACCGUAGCUAACGCGUGAAGUUGACCGCCUGGGGAGUACGGCCGCAAGGUUAAAACUCAAAGGAAUUGACGGGGACCCGCACAAGCGGUGGAUGAUGUGGAUUAAUUCGAUGCAACGCGAAAAACCUUACCUACCCUUGACAUGUCCGGAAGCCUGAAGAGAUUUGGGUGUGCCCGAAAGGGAACUGGAACACAGGUGCUGCAUGGCUGUCGUCAGCUCGUGUCGUGAGAUGUUGGGUUAAGUCCCGCAACGAGCGCAACCCUUGUCGUUAAUUGCCAUCAUUUAGUUGGGCACUUUAACGAGACUGCCGGUGACAAACCGGAGGAAGGUGGGGAUGACGUCAAGUCCUCAUGGCCCUUAUGGGUAGGGCUUCACACGUCAUACAAUGGUCGGUACAGAGGGUUGCCAAGCCGCGAGGUGGAGCCAAUCCCAGAAAGCCGAUCGUAGUCCGGAUUGCAGGCUGCAAUUCGUCUGCGUGAAGCCGGAAUCGCUAGUAAUCGCGGAUCAGCUACGCCGCGGUGAAUACGUUCUCGGGCCUUGUACACACCGCCCGUCACAUCACGAAAGUUGGUCGUGCCCGAAGUCAUUGAGCUAACCCGCAAGGGAGGCAGAUGCCUAAGGCAUGGUCGAUGAUUGGGGUGAAGUCGUAACAAGGUAACC
Molecule: ribosomal RNA, 877 nt
Filed under: uncultured bacterium
Lineage: Bacteria
Description: bacterial SSU rRNA
Rfam family: Bacterial small subunit ribosomal RNA
Source: RNAcentral